GACGAACCGUGCGAACGUUGUUCGGAAUCACUGGGCUUAAAGGGCGCGUAGGCGGGUCUGCAAGUCCGGGGUGAAAGCCCCCAGCUCAACUGGGGAAGUGCCUUGGAAACUGCGGGUCUUGAGGGAGGUAGGGGCAUGUGGAACUUCGGGUGGAGCGGUGAAAUGCGUUGAUAUCGGAAGGAACGCCGGUGGCGAAAGCGGCGUGCUGGACCUUUUCUGACGCUGAUGCGCGAAAGCCAGGGGAGCGAACGGG
Molecule: ribosomal RNA, 253 nt
Filed under: uncultured bacterium
Lineage: Bacteria
Description: partial 16S ribosomal RNA
Rfam family: Bacterial small subunit ribosomal RNA
Source: RNAcentral